AAUGGUCGCAAGACUGACCCAGCCAUGCCGCGUGCAGGAAGACGGCCCUCUGGGUUGUAAACUGCUUUUAUCUGGGAAGAAAAAGUCCAUGCGUGGAAAAUUGCCGGUACCAGAUGAAUAAGCACCGGCUAACUCCGUGCCAGCAGCCGCGGUAAUACGGAGGGUGCAAGCGUUGUCCGGAUUUAUUGGGUUUAAAGGGUGCGUAGGCGGCUGAAUAAGUCAGCGGUGAAAGACUUCGGCUUAACCGGAGCARUGCCGUUGAUACUGUUUAGCUUGAGUGUUGGAGGGGUACAUGGAAUUGAUGGUGUAGCGGUGAAAUGCAUAGAUACCAUCAGGAACACCGAUGGCGAAGGCAUUGUACUGGCCAACAACUGACGCUGAAGCACAAAAGUGUGGGGAUCGAACAGGAUUAGAUACCCUGGUAGUCCACACCGUAAACGAUGAUUACUCGCUGUUAUGGUGUAUGCUGUAGCGGCCAAGCGAAAGCGUUAAGUAAUCCACCUGGGGAGUACGCCGGCAACGG
Molecule: ribosomal RNA, 523 nt
Filed under: uncultured Bacteroidota bacterium
Lineage: Bacteria; Pseudomonadati; Bacteroidota
Description: bacterial SSU rRNA
Rfam family: Bacterial small subunit ribosomal RNA
Source: RNAcentral